CAUUGAUCCUGACGGUGAAGAGCCCGGUGCAUACGACGGAGGAGCUGGCGGAGAAGUCACCGGAGAAGUUGCCGGAGAAACAGGGGAAGAUGAUUUAGGUGACAUUGAUCCCGGCGGUGAAGAACCCGGUGCAUACGACGGAGGAGCUGGCGGAGAAGUCACCGGAGAAGUUGCCGGAGAAACAGGGGAAGAUGAUUUAGGUGACAUUGAUCCCGGCGGUGAAGAACCCGGUGCAUACGACGGAGGAGCUGGCGGAGAAGUCACCGGAGAAGUUGCCGGAGAACCAGCGGAGGAAGAUUUAGGUGGCAUUGAACCCGGCGGAGAAGUCACCGGAGAAGACGACGGAGAACCAGGGGAAGAUGAUUUAGGUGACACUGAUCCCGGCGGAGAAGUUACCGGAGAAGAUGACGGAGAACCAGGGAAUGAGGAUUUAGGUGGCAUUGAUCCCGGCGGAGAAGUCAUCGGAGCAGAGGACGGAGAACCAGGGGAAGAGGAUUUAGGUGGCAUAGGUGCGGGUGGAGAAGUUGCCGGAGACAUAUGAGAGGAAGAUUUAGGUGCCAUUGAACCUGGUGGAGAAGUUGCCGGAGACUUAGCGGAGGAUGAUUUAGGUGGCAUUGAUCCCGGCGGAGAAGUCACUGGAGAAGAAGACGGAGAAACAGGGGAAGAUGAUUUAGGUGGUGUAUGUGCCGGUGGAGACGUCGCCGGAGAAACAGGGGAAGAUGAUUUAGGUGGCAUUGUUCCCGGUGGAGAAGUCACCGGAGAAACAGGGGAAGUAGAUUUAGGUGGCAUAGGUGCCGGUGGAGAAGUCGCCGGAGAAACAUGGGAAGAAGACUUAGGUGGCAUUGAUCCCGGUGGAGAAGUCACCGGAGCAGAAGACGGAGUAACAGGGGAAGAUGAUUUAGGUGGCGUAGGUGCGGGUGGAGAAGUCGCCGGAGAAACAGGGGAAGAGGAUUUAGGUGGUGUGUGUGCGGGUGGAGAAGUGGCCGGAGAAACAUGGGAAGAAGACUUAGGUGGCAUUGAUCCCGGAGGAGAAUUUCCCGGUGAUGCUGCUUGAGGAGGAGCCGGAGUUCUAACGGACAAGACAACGACAGUAAGCUUUUGUCCCUUCUUACAGUUAUCUUCAUUACCGCUAAUGAAGUAAAACGGACCAGAACGUUCA
This 1159-nucleotide long non-coding RNA is filed under the name Brassica napus (rape). Its description in RNAcentral is "long non-coding RNA (BNAP_LNC003036)". Lineage: Eukaryota; Viridiplantae; Streptophyta; Magnoliopsida; Brassicales; Brassicaceae. The record is from RNAcentral.